ACUGAGUUGGCUAGCAUGAUUUGUCAUACCAUACUAGGUAAAGAGAUGAAAGAGCUACAUUCUAAUUGGAUUAACCCAACCGACAGUAACAUAUGUUAUACACGACUGAUAGACAUAAAUAUAUUAUUCCAGUGGAAUUCGUGAUAAAUCAUCCAGCAUUGUGGCCAUGGUGAAGAAUAUUCAUGUUUUAUGAGGAAUGUUGGGUUCGAGCUAGACAUGCGACGAUUGACAUGCACAAAUAUAAUAGAAA
RNAcentral lists this unclassified non-coding RNA (250 nucleotides) under Hevea brasiliensis (rubber tree). Lineage: Eukaryota; Viridiplantae; Streptophyta; Magnoliopsida; Malpighiales; Euphorbiaceae. The record is from RNAcentral.